UGGGGAAUAUUGCACAAUGGGCGAAAGCCUGAUGCAGCAACGCCGCGUGAGUGAUGAAGGCCUUCGGGUUGUAAAGCUCUGUCUUUUGGGACGAUAAUGACGGUACCAAAGGAGGAAGCCACGGCUAACUACGUGCCAGCAGCCGCGGUAAUACGUAGGUGGCAAGCGUUGUCCGGAUUUACUGGGCGUAAAGGAUGCGUAGGCGGAUUUUUAAGUGAGAUGUGAAAACCCUAAGCUUAACUUGGGGACUGCAUUUCAUACUGGAAAUCUAGAGUGCGGGAGAGGAGAAUGGAAUUCCUAGUGUAGCGGUGAAAUGCGUAGAGAUUAGGAAGAACACCAGUGGCGAAGGCGAUUCUCUGGACCGUAACUGACGCUGAGGCAUGAAAGCGUGGGUAGCAAACAGGAUUAGAUACCCUGGUAGUCCACGCCGUAAACGAUGAGUACUAGGUGUAGGAGGUAUCGACCCCUUCUGUGCCGCAGUUAACACAAUAAGUACUCCGCCUGGGAAGUACGAUCGCAAGAUUAAAACUUAAAGGAAUUGACGGGGGUCAUAGCUGUUU
This 560-nucleotide ribosomal RNA is filed under the name uncultured bacterium. RNAcentral's name for it is "partial 16S ribosomal RNA". It matches the Rfam family "Bacterial small subunit ribosomal RNA", at positions 355 to 935 of the family's 1533-position model. The record is from RNAcentral.